RNAcentral lists this small nucleolar RNA (200 nucleotides) under Zalophus californianus (California sea lion). RNAcentral describes it as "Small nucleolar RNA U3 (ENSZCAG00015019085.1)". It matches the Rfam family "Small nucleolar RNA U3". From Rfam's summary of the family: Small nucleolar RNAs (snoRNAs) are involved in the processing and modification of rRNA in the nucleolus. There are two main classes of snoRNAs: the box C/D class, and the box H/ACA class. Lineage: Eukaryota; Metazoa; Chordata; Mammalia; Carnivora; Otariidae. The record is from RNAcentral.
UUCAAUUUAACAACACACAGAGGACAUGAACAGACAUUUCUCCAAAGAAGACAUCCAGAUGCCACGAGGAGGAUGCACAGUGUUCUCUUCUGAGCAUGAAGACGGCUUUCGGUAUUGCCUUUGUAACUGCCGAUUGUCAUUGAUGAUCGUUCUACUUUUCCUUUGGGGGAGUUAGAGGGAGAGAAUGCAGUCUGAGUGGU